CAGAUGAUCUGGUUCUGAUUCUUCAGGUUGUUCUGACCCUUUUUCUGGUCGAGGAUGGAGAUAGAGUGUGAUCCAGCAGCUUCAGAGCCACAGCAGUGACAUCCCAACCGUGCUGAGUCAUCAUCAGUCGACCGGUGAACGCUCAUGAAGGCGAGUCAAAUCAAGAAGCUGCUUGUGACUCAAACUGCAGACACAGACACUCGACGUGUGGAAAUCCUGUGACGAUAACUUAAGACUUCAUCAUGGAGCGCCAACAUCAGGUCUCCUGAUGAUCUUUUUGUGCCUCUAUGUGCAUCCAUGGGCGAAGCAAGGGGGGAGAAAUGGCACUGAUUACCUUGAAG
Cheilinus undulatus (humphead wrasse) is the source of this 341-nucleotide long non-coding RNA. RefSeq lists it as uncharacterized. The record is from RefSeq and is a predicted model, not a curated record. NCBI's taxonomy places the organism in Eukaryota, Metazoa, Chordata, Actinopteri, Labriformes, Labridae. The transcript has 4 exons.